GGGGCUAGCGUUGCUCGGAAUCACUGGGCGUAAAGGGUGCGUAGGCGGGUCUUUAAGUCAGGGGUGAAAUCCUGGAGCUCAACUCCAGAACUGCCUUUGAUACUGAAGAUCUUGAGUUCGGGAGAGGUGAGUGGAACUGCGAGUGUAGAGGUGAAAUUCGUAGAUAUCAGGAAGAACACCCGUGGCUAAGGCGGCUCUCUAGUACGUGACUGACGCUGAGGCGCGAAAGCGUGGGGAGCAAACAGG
Molecule: ribosomal RNA, 246 nt
Filed under: uncultured bacterium
Lineage: Bacteria
Description: partial 16S ribosomal RNA
Rfam family: Bacterial small subunit ribosomal RNA
Source: RNAcentral